GCCACACAACAGUAUAUUAUAGAAUAGAAUUUAUUCAAGGCAUAGAGAGGGGAGUUAGGAGGGUAGCAGAGACAGAGGAAGGCAGAGAGAAGGAGACAGUAGAGGCCACCAUGACCAUGUGGAGAGAGGGGAGAUGGGAAGGGGGAGAGGAGAACCCAAAAGGGCAAGAGAGAAGCAAGCAGGACACAGGAGUAAGAGAGGGAGGAGGGGGCGAGCAGCCCCUCUUAUAGAGGGCCAGGCUUACCUGUUGCCAGGUAACUGUGGGGCGGAGCUUAGACAGAAUCCUAACAAAUGCUGCCACAUGUGACACCAGGAAACUGAAACAGCCAAUCCAGUUCUUCCCCAAUUCUUCAUGCAGAGGAAACACAUGAUAACACUUGUUCAUGGUGGCAAGCAGGCACUCCUUAGACUCCUUCCUCACACAGCAUAACUGAUACCUAUGGAGCUGUAGGAAGGGAAAAGAGGUGCACAGGCAAUGCAUCCCACAAAGUGUCUGUUGUCUUAUUAGAGACUCAUAAUGCUAUUCCUCCUGGACCAAGUCUAGCUUUAGAUAAGCAAAACAUUAAGUACUCCAGUAAGUAGACGCCAUGAGAACAUGUCACCUCAGGAUAAGCUAAGGUUUAGGGUUGUUGUAAUGAGUUCUUCACAUUUUCUGAAUUAUUUUUUACCUUAGAGAUCAGAAACUAUGAAUUUUUCAGUAAGCAUGCAUGGAAGAGCUGAGCUUGAACCUUUGAUCCUUCCACCUUUAUCUCCCAGCUGCUUGGAUUACAGAGGUCAGCAGAACACACCGCCUACGAACCAGUGUGAGCAACCGGCCAAUUACUACCUCGCUUCCCUUACGGUCUGAAGAAUAUAACACACGGAAUUCUGGGAGAUUUAUCUAAGAGUGCUUUCUGCAUCUCAGUUUCAUGAGUAAAUUAUUCUCAAACCAUGAGGUUCCUAAGCUUGACCCUCCUGAAAUUGAACCAGUGGUAACCAAAGAGAGCAUUUCUUUAUGAUGUCCAUUAUCCUGGCGAAAUGGAAGAGUAUGUUCAGAGACACCCUGGGCUCAGAAGCUGUGCUCCACCAUCUGGACUAAGACCCCCAGGGUUAGAAAACUACAGAAAUUCUACAAAUCAGACCUAGCGGCAGCCUCCAACAUCCCCGGUCUCUGUUUUAUUUAUCUUUCCUGGCCACCUCCAUUUUCCCCUCCAAAUGGAAAGCUAAAGUAAGAGAUGUGUUUGACAGAACAUUGUCAGAAUUCAUUUUACAGAAACAUACU
Molecule: long non-coding RNA, 1261 nt
Organism: Apodemus sylvaticus (European woodmouse)
Lineage: Eukaryota; Metazoa; Chordata; Mammalia; Rodentia; Muridae
Exons: 3
Source: RefSeq, a predicted model, not a curated record